AGAGUUUGAUCAUGGCUCAGGACGAACGCUGGCGGCGCGCCUAACACAUGCAAGUCGGACGGAGCUUAGAGAGCUUGCUUUUUAAGCUUAGUGGCGAACGGGUGAGUAACGCGUGAGUAACCUGCCCUAGAGUGGGGGACAACAGUUGGAAACGACUGCUAAUACCGCAUAAGCCCACGGUACCGCAUGGUACUGAGGGAAAAGGAUUUAUUCGCUUUAGGAUGGACUCGCGUCCAAUUAGCUAGUUGGUGAGGUAACCGG
Molecule: ribosomal RNA, 261 nt
Filed under: uncultured bacterium
Lineage: Bacteria
Description: partial 16S ribosomal RNA
Rfam family: Bacterial small subunit ribosomal RNA
Source: RNAcentral